AAGUCGUAACAAGGUUUCCGUAGGUGAACCUGCGGAAGGAUCAUUAUCGCACCUAUGGUUAUGGGUUAGGGCUAGAGGCCGCUUACAGUUACGCUGACUUUACGUCGCCUAACCCUAGCUUAAUAUUUGUCUAAUACACCUGUGCAUUGUCUAUACAAAACACACUCUAAAAUAUAGACUUAUGGACGUUCGAAUGCCUCAAGGCACUAUAAUAUGUAUACAA
RNAcentral lists this unclassified non-coding RNA (223 nucleotides) under plant metagenome. RNAcentral describes it as "partial contains small subunit ribosomal RNA and internal transcribed spacer 1". The stretch from base 1 to 46 matches the Rfam family "Eukaryotic small subunit ribosomal RNA", at positions 1786 to 1831 of the family's 1831-position model. The record is from RNAcentral.